RNAcentral lists this transfer RNA (84 nucleotides) under Pseudomonadota bacterium. RNAcentral describes it as "tRNA-Leu". It matches the Rfam family "tRNA". Rfam says of the family: Transfer RNA (tRNA) molecules are approximately 80 nucleotides in length. Their secondary structure includes four short double-helical elements and three loops (D, anti-codon, and T loops). Further hydrogen bonds mediate the characteristic L-shaped molecular structure. tRNAs have two regions of fundamental functional importance: the anti-codon, which is responsible for specific mRNA codon recognition, and the 3' end, to which the tRNAs corresponding amino acid is attached (by aminoacyl-tRNA synthetases). tRNAs cope with the degeneracy of the genetic code in two manners: having more than one tRNA (with a specific anti-codon) for a particular amino acid; and 'wobble' base-pairing, i.e. permitting non-standard base-pairing at the 3rd anti-codon position. The record is from RNAcentral. Lineage: Bacteria; Pseudomonadati; Pseudomonadota. RNAcentral also lists the same sequence under 1 other name.
GCCCAGAUGGCGGAACUGGCAGACGCGCCAGCUUGAGGUGCUGGUGGGAGCAAUCCCUUGGAGGUUCGAGUCCUCUUCUGGGCA